GACGAACGCUGGCGGCGUGCCUAAUACAUGCAAGUUGAGCGCUGAAGGUUGGUACUUGUACCAACUUGAUGAGCAGCGAACGGGUGAGUAACGCGUGGGGAAUCUGCCUUUGAGCGGGGGACAACAUUUGGAAACGAAUGCUAAUCCCGCAUAAAAACUUUAAACACAAGUUUUAAGUUUGAAAGAUGCAAUUGCAUCACUCAAAGAUGAUCCCGCGUUGUAUUAGCUAGUUGGUGAGGUAAAGGCUCACCAAGGCGAUGAUACAUAGCCGACCUGAGAGGGUGAUCGGCCACAUUGGGACUGAGACACGGCCCAAAAUCCUACGGGAGGCAGCAGUAGGGAAUCUUCGGCAAUGGACGAAAGUCUGACCGAGCAACGCCGCGUGAGUGAAGAAGGUUUUCGGAUCGUAAAACUCUGUUGGUAGAGAAGAACGUUGGUGAGAGUGGAAAGCUCAUCAAGUGACGGUAACUACCCAGAAAGGGACGGCUAACUACGUG
This 497-nucleotide ribosomal RNA is filed under the name uncultured bacterium. RNAcentral describes it as "partial 16S ribosomal RNA". It matches the Rfam family "Bacterial small subunit ribosomal RNA", at positions 28 to 507 of the family's 1533-position model. The record is from RNAcentral.